Alligator mississippiensis (American alligator) is the source of this 683-nucleotide long non-coding RNA. RefSeq lists it as uncharacterized. The record is from RefSeq and is a predicted model, not a curated record. Lineage: Eukaryota; Metazoa; Chordata; Crocodylia; Alligatoridae. The transcript is spliced from 2 exons.
GGCAAGGGGGCGGCGUUUCUGUUCUAACCCUAACGGGCGCUGGGCCGCUCCUCGCGCGCACGCGCUGUUUUCCUCGCUGACUUUCAGCGCGCGGCGGGAGCAGGCCGGAUCCACCAACCAAAAAACGUCAGCGCGGCGCCGCCCCCGCCCGGCCGCCGGCUCCACCUGGCGCCUCCGCGGCGGCGGCGGCUGCACCCCGCCUCCGCCGUGCGCCUGCCGGGGCCGCGGCAGCCGGCCCGCGCCACUGCUGCCGCCAAGAGUCCGGCUCUGCGCGCCCCGCGGGCGGCGGCCAGCAGAGCAACGGAGUGGCCUUGCCCUCAGCCCGCCGCUCCGGAGCUGUGGGGCGCGCGGCGGCGGCUGCUCCGACACGUGCUCGUGCUGCGGCCGGGGGGAGGGGGGUGUGCCGGCCCCGCCCCUCCCCCUUCGCGCGCGCGUGGCCCCGCCCCUGCCUCACGGUGCCCUCCCUCUCUCCGCAGGGGUGCCGUCUCUGCCCCCGUCCCCCGAGGGGUGCCCGUGCCUGGCAGCGAGCGCUUGGAUCCAAGAGCCCAGCCGCGCAGGUCUCCUUUUUCAUCUUGAAAUGCGAUUCAGGAAGUUGAAGCCAGAGGGCUGUGUACAGAUUCAGUUUCUGGUCCCUUUAUGUUGGAAUCAGUUGUCAGAGUUCAAAUAAAGCUUCUUUCAGUGGA